GUGCCAGCCGCCGCGGUAAGACAGAGGGUGCGAACGUUGUUCGGAAUUACUGGGCGUAAGGCGCGUGUAGGCGGUCGGGCAAGUCGGAUGUGAAAGCCCCGGGCUCAACCCGGGAAGUGCAUUCGAUACUGCUUGGCUAGAGUACUGGAGAGGAUGGUGGAACUCUCGGUGUAGAGGUGAAAUUCGUAGAUAUCGAGAAGAACACCGGCGGCGAAGGCGGCCAUCUGGACAGAUACUGACGCUGAGACGCGAAAGCGUGGGGAGCAAACAGGAUUAGAAACCCUAGUAGUCC
Molecule: ribosomal RNA, 292 nt
Filed under: uncultured bacterium
Lineage: Bacteria
Description: partial 16S ribosomal RNA
Rfam family: Bacterial small subunit ribosomal RNA
Source: RNAcentral